CAAGUCACGACAAUGGCCACUACCCUACUCCAUUCUCUGUAAUGGAUUCUGCAUGGUUCCACCACUCUUUGACAAGUCAUGACAAUGGACACCACUCCACUCUCCGGGCUCUACCACUCUCUGGCAAGUCGCGACAACAGACACCACUCCACUCUCCGUAACAAACUCCACAUGGCCCUGAAUGGCCCCUGAUGCCACUACUCUCUACAACAAACUCUGCGCGGCCAUGAACGGCCCACUACUAGAUGGUUACAGACAUCGCUGUCAAUCAGUUAUGCUCUCCGUCUAUAAAAAGGGACCCUCAGAUACGUUCUUCUCUAAGCUCUAAACUCUGUCUCGAAACUCUGCUAAAAUUCUCACU
Molecule: long non-coding RNA, 361 nt
Filed under: Elaeis guineensis (African oil palm)
Lineage: Eukaryota; Viridiplantae; Streptophyta; Magnoliopsida; Arecales; Arecaceae
Description: long non-coding RNA (EGUI_LNC052488)
Source: RNAcentral